GAUGAACGCUGGCGGCGUGCCUAAUACAUGCAAGUCGAGCGAACAGACGAGGAGCUUGCUCCUCUGACGUUAGCGGCGGACGGGUGAGUAAAACGUGGAUAACCUACCUAUAAGACUGGGAUAACUUCGGGAAACCGGAGCUAAUACCGGAUACUAUAUUGAACCGCAUGGUUCAAUAGUGAAAGACGGUUUUGCUGUCACUUAUAGAUGGAUCCGCGCCGCAUUAGCUAGUUGGUAAGGUAACGGCUUACCAAGGCGACGAUGCGUAGCCGACCUGAGAGGGUGAUCGGCCACACUGGAACUGAGACACGGUCCAGACUCCUACGUGAGGCAGCAGUAGGGAAUCUUCCGCAAUGGGCGAAAGCCUGACGGAGCAACGCCGCGUGAGUGAUGAAGGUCUGCGGAUCGUAAAACUCUGUUAUUAGGGAAGAACAAAUGUGUAAGUAACUAUGCACGUCUUGACGGUACCUAAUCAGAAAGCCACGGCUAACUACGUG
Molecule: ribosomal RNA, 497 nt
Filed under: uncultured bacterium
Lineage: Bacteria
Description: partial 16S ribosomal RNA
Rfam family: Bacterial small subunit ribosomal RNA
Source: RNAcentral